Molecule: long non-coding RNA, 1285 nt
Organism: Panicum virgatum (switchgrass)
Lineage: Eukaryota; Viridiplantae; Streptophyta; Magnoliopsida; Poales; Poaceae
Exons: 5
Source: RefSeq, a predicted model, not a curated record
AUUUCCAGCUGGGAAAAAAAAAGCUCGGCUCAGCUUCUUUUCCUCAUUUUCGAUCGGCUUUCGGCGGCCUGUCUCCCGGCUCUCUUCUUAUCCAUCUGCAUCGCCAUCGCCGGAUCCCCAUGGUCGGAGUCCGCCGCGUCCACCGGUGCUCCCUCCCCCACGCGCCUGAGCCCCAAUGCCGGCCGCCGUGCCCCCACCCGCCGCUUCCCCGGGCGCGGCCCCUGUCGCCUCCCGGCGCCCGUGACCGAUUCCGUCCGGCGGCGCCUUCUCCCCUCCCGACGGCUCGGCCCCGCAGCUACUUCCCCUCCCGGCGUCGCGCAGCCUGUGCGCCAUCACGUGCGCCAAGUGCGGCCGUGAGAACUCCUGCGACACGCCGCCGUGCAACUGCACGCUGUACCGCCAGCUCCACCUCCCGCCGCCGCCGAGGACCCAGGCCUCGACCUUCGGUGUCGCUCGGCGCGCAUCCCUCGUCGCCGAGGAGGUCCUCUCCGCCCCUGCCCGCCUCCUCGACGAAAUCCAAUCGGAGAUAGUACACUCGAUCCCCAUUCCCACAGUUGGAAGAGCCAAUUCUGAGUCAGUGUACAACUUCAGGAAUGGGCUUAACUAGUUUUUCUAACAAGCAAAGUGAAAGCUGCAGUCGUUCAGAUGUGACCAAUGUGGAUAGCCAGAGCUUGUUAGAGUCCAAUACUAAAUGCCAAGAGCAGAAUACCAGUUGCCAAGCUUCUAUUCUUGAUCUGCAUGGAGGGCCAGAAGUUCGUCAGAAUGGUUGCAUGAUGCAUAUUUCUUUCCCAGAUGCAUUGCAGUUUCCUGCUAGCUGGUUUAAUAAUAUUUGCACAUCAAUAUCACAAGCAGAUGCAUCAUCUGACGCCCCCUUACUGCUGGGAUGCUGGUUCAGACUACUGGGUCAAGUUCAGUGAACUUGAGAGUAUUAGUUCUUUCGAGGCAUGGCUCUCCCCACAUGCUCGCAGGCGUGAGUAAGACGUCCAAGUAUAAAGGCAGCGUCGAGCUGAUUGAUUCAAGAGUCAGAAAUUUGCCGAAGAAGCUCUUCAUUAAGCAGCAGCAUGAUUACAAGUCAUCAAGACCAAUUACCCGUCAUCAAGAUCCUGAAGGAUGGUUUCUCAGUUCAUUACACAAAUUGGCCGAUGGUGACUGUGACCUUCAUAUUUUGUAUUGACAGAGUGUCCAUGUACAAAGUUUUUAUGGGAUCAAUGUACAAUGUAUCAUGUUAUCUGAAAUAUACAUAUUUAUAUUUAGAAAUAAGAAAUGUGAUGGUUGUGUUUAAAAA